This 1674-nucleotide long non-coding RNA is filed under the name Bos grunniens (domestic yak). RNAcentral's name for it is "lncRNA (ENSBGRG00000004166.1)". The record is from RNAcentral. Lineage: Eukaryota; Metazoa; Chordata; Mammalia; Artiodactyla; Bovidae.
AUGAUGAGAGUCGUGAAAGUUGAUGUGCUUCCCUUUUCACCAUGGCUGCCAGGAAACUCCAGAGUAAAAUUUAAUUGCAGGAUUAUGGGGAUCAUGUCAGAUAGAUAUAAGUGUGUGUGUGUGUGUGCGCACGCGCGUGUGCACGUGCUCUUAGUUGCUCAGUUCUGUCCGACUCUUUGCAACCCCAUGGACUGUAGUCCUGCAUGCUCCUCUAUCCAUGGGAUUUUCCAGGCAAGAACACUGGAGUGGGUUGCCAUUUCCUCCUCCAGGGGAUCUUACCAACCCAGGGAUCAAACCCAUAUCUCCUGCGCUGGCAGGAGAAUUCUUUACUCACUGUGCCACCUGGGAAGAUAGAUUUGGGGAAUGAUAAUUCCUCUUGCCUUUGCCCCUUUUUUUUUUCCUGUUGUCUUACUGAACUUCACGAUUAGGAUUGUAAAUUGCCUCCAGUGCUUUUUGGAAAUUCUCAGCAUAAUUAACCCAAAUCAGAGCUGGGUUGAGGACCAGGUCCCCUAAUUCUCAGCUCAAGGCUCUUCUAAAGAUAUAACACCGUGGUUAUUGGGCUUAAAAAAGAUGGCCUAAUUGGAGAUGGUGAAGGACAGGGAAGCCUGGCGUGCUGCAGUCUAUGGGGUCACGAAGAGUCAGACAUGACUGAGCAACUGAACAACAAUGGUCAAGGCUGUGAACAUCAAUGGUAUGCACUGGUAUUUAGGAUCUCUCUGGGAGUUUGUUAGAUAUGCAGAUUCCUGGCCCUCUGGGGUGAGGUGGGGGCCAAGAAGCUGCAUUUUGGACAUGUCCACAGAGGAUUCUGAUGCAGGGGUCCCCACACCACCCUCUGGGACACACAGGUCCAGAGAUUCAGGGUAGACUGGUUUUAUGUCUGGGUUGGGCAGUGGCAUAGUCUGGGUAUUCUGCACCCACACAAAGCCCCCAGUGGAGCAGUAGGUUAACACAGCAAGGGACAAGGUUGGACUGAGGGUUCCAGUGGACCUAGGUUCUAGUCUGAACUUGAUGACUUCCUAGUUAGGUGACUCUGGAAUGAGACCUGUACCUCAGUUUCCUCAUCUGUAAAAUGGGAGCACUAAACCUUGUCCUGCCAAGGUUGCCUCCCAGAGUUAGCAUGUAGAAGCCUGAAGGAGAUGUGGCAGGGGAAGCAAUUUCUAAAUAGCCAUGUGCUCUAGAAAAGGUGUCCAGGGACUUAAUUAUUAAUGAAGAGGUGGUGAGAUUGGGGGGCUGAUGAGCCUGGAAGACUGGCAAAGCUGGGGAGGGCAUUCUAGAUGGGAGAGGAGAGGGAGGAAGGCCCUAGAAGUUGGAUGGGCAAGAGGAGAACAGGCCAUGUGAUGAAACCAUGAAAAGUGGAUGCAGGCAGGCAGGAGAGAGCCAUGUGGCAAUCAGGGCACAAGAGGGUGAAGUCUUAAACCCUCAACUUUGUCACCUGGGAAAGCAGCUGGUAGAGGAGCAUCCCUGGGGAGACCAAGGGAAGGGUCCGUUUUCAGCAAGACCUCUUAGAAGGGGUUUUUUAAAUUGGUCAGCCUUUGGUGGGGACAAAAUUGGGGGGGAGAGGGCUGCCAGGGUGACAGGGACUUGAAUAUUGAUACCUCAUGCAUGCAGGAUCUAGGGGCCACUGACAUGCCAGAGUAAUUUGAUUUUCAUUUCAAAUACAGACAUCAUUGCCCC